This 241-nucleotide ribosomal RNA is filed under the name uncultured bacterium. RNAcentral describes it as "partial 16S ribosomal RNA". It matches the Rfam family "Bacterial small subunit ribosomal RNA", at positions 118 to 351 of the family's 1533-position model. The record is from RNAcentral.
UGGGUAACCUGCCUCGAUGACCGGGACAACCCGGGGAAACCCGGGGCUAAUACCGGAUGUGCUGCCCUCACCUAAGUGAGGGUUGGAAAGGAAGCUUCGGCCUCCGCAUUGAGAUGGGCCCGCGGCCCAUUAGCUUGUUGGUGAGGUAACGGCUCACCAAGGCUGCGAUGGGUAGCUGGUCUGAGAGGACGAUCAGCCACACGUGGGACUGAGACACGGCCAGACUCCGUACGGGAGGNAG